This 629-nucleotide ribosomal RNA is filed under the name Aspergillus tamarii. RNAcentral describes it as "eukaryotic LSU rRNA". It matches the Rfam family "Eukaryotic large subunit ribosomal RNA", at positions 1 to 649 of the family's 3401-position model. The record is from RNAcentral. Lineage: Eukaryota; Fungi; Ascomycota; Eurotiomycetes; Eurotiales; Aspergillaceae.
CUCGGAUCAGGUAGGGAUACCCGCUGAACUUAAGCAUAUCAAUAAGCGGAGGAAAAGAAACCAACCGGGAUUGCCUCAGUAACGGCGAGUGAAGCGGCAAGAGCUCAAAUUUGAAAGCUGGCUCCUUCGGGGUCCGCAUUGUAAUUUGCAGAGGAUGCUUCGGGUGCGGCCCCUGUCUAAGUGCCCUGGAACGGGCCGUCAGAGAGGGUGAGAAUCCCGUCUGGGAUGGGGUGUCCGCGCCCGUGUGAAGCUCCUUCGACGAGUCGAGUUGUUUGGGAAUGCAGCUCUAAAUGGGUGGUAAAUUUCAUCUAAAGCUAAAUACUGGCCGGAGACCGAUAGCGCACAAGUAGAGUGAUCGAAAGAUGAAAAGCACUUUGAAAAGAGAGUUAAAAAGCACGUGAAAUUGUUGAAAGGGAAGCGCUUGCGACCAGACUCGCCUCCAGGGUUCAGCCGGCAUUCGUGCCGGUGUACUUCCCUGGGGGCGGGCCAGCGUCGGUUUGGGCGGCCGGUCAAAGGCUCCCGGAAUGUAGUGCCCUUCGGGGCACCUUAUAGCCGGGAGUGCAAUGCGGCCAGCCUGGACCGAGGAACGCGCUUCGGCACGGACGCUGGCAUAAUGGUCGCAAACGACC